CUCGGUCACAGAAUGCUUUUUCCCUAAAAUGAACACUGGGGUUAUAGAUAUGGUCUAUUAUACAGAGUAUUGUUGUACUGCUAAGAGUGCUCCAAUGUUCUUGUUGACAGACUGAAACCACUUGCUUGCAGUUCAUAAGGCUUACUUCUUGAGAGCAGGCAGCUACAAAAUGGAAGGUCAACAAAACCAGUAUACUUAAAAAGCAAGAAAGAAACACCAGAAAAUAUGAAAAGACAGAAGAACUAGGGAACUUGAAUAAAAAAAUAUUAAAGAUAGGAAUUCAGGAUAUACUUGGAAACUAAAUUUAUUUUGAGGACAGGAGUGAUUGACUAAGCUUUGUUACUUUAAGAGAUAAAGUACUAUUAUCACAUUAGUUUUGUUAUGCUCAUAAAACAUACUAAAGUUUCAUUAAUCUUAUUUUAGAUAAUUGUUUUCUGGUUUAUUUUACAAAGGUUGUCUACUAAUUAACAUAGUUAUAUUUAAGUAAUAUUUUCCAUGAAAUUUUAAAGAGAAUGUUUUGUUAUACCCCCACAAAACAAAGUUUUAGUGGUAGUAAGUUUGUCUGUCUUUCAGUCCGUUGGUUUUCAUGGUUUCCGGAUGAUAACUCAUGAAAAGCUUGACCGAUUUAAAUAUUUUUUGGUACACAGGUGUAACAUCAGAAAAUACAGGUCAGGUUCGACUUUGGGGUCAGUAGGUCAAAGGUCAAGGUCACAGUGACCCUGAACAGUUAAACGGUUUCCGGAUGAUAACUUGAGAACGCUUUGGCCUAGGAUCAUAGCUUUUGUAAGAAAGGUGUAUCGUGAUAAAAUACAGGUCGUUUGACUUUGAGGUCAGUAGAUCAAAGGUCAAGGUCACAGUGAUCCUGAACAGUUGAACCGUUUCCGGAUGAUAACUUGAGACCUUGAGCCUAGGAUGAUAAAGUUUGGUACACAGGUGUAAUAUCAUGAAAUACAGGUCAAGUUCGACUUUGAGGUUAGACAGUCAAAGGUCAAGGUCACAAUAACGCAAAACAGUGAAACAGUUUUUGGAUAAUCGAUUAUAACUUGAGAAUGCUUGAGCCUAGGAUCAUGAAAAUUGUUAGGGAGGUUGAUUAUGACCAGCAGGUGACCCCUUUUAAUGUUUAGGUCACAGGUCAAGGUCACACUGACCUGGUUCUUUAAAACGGUUUCCGGACAGUAACUUCAGAAUGCUUGGGACGAGGAUCACAAAAUUUAGUACAAGGUUGGUCUUGACCAGCAGAUGACCCGUAUUGAUUUUGAGUUCCAAAGGUCAGGAUGACCCGAAACAUUUAAACAUUUCCCAUACAACAACUUUAGAACACUUGGGCGGAGGAUCAUGAAACUUCAUAUGGAGAUUGAUCUGGACCAGCAGAUGAUCUGUAUUGAAUUUGAUGUCAGUAGGUCAAAGCUGAAGAAAGUGCUGCUUUGUCAUUGGCUUAGUUCUGUGAUAAGGCCAUAUUGUGGGGGUAUAAUUCGUUACUCCUGUGACAACUCUAGUUUUUUAUUUGUUUUUGUUGCAAGAGAAAUGGUACAUUGUACAAUACAGAUUAAAGCAAGUCACAUUUUCUUUAUUUUGAUAAUACUUAUUUCAAGCCUGACAAAGCAUCCAGUACUGUUAGUAAAAGUUGUUAUUCACAGUUCAGCUAGCUUUAUUUCAUGUAUGGAUAAAACAAAUUAUGUGAUCUGUGAUCAUCAUAAAUGUGUAUAUAGAUAAAACUUAAACAUGUGGACAGUUUAUUCAAUAAAUAAAGUGUGGUGCAA
Long non-coding RNA from Mercenaria mercenaria, 1760 nucleotides. RefSeq lists it as uncharacterized. The record is from RefSeq and is a predicted model, not a curated record. NCBI's taxonomy places the organism in Eukaryota, Metazoa, Mollusca, Bivalvia, Venerida, Veneridae. The transcript has 2 exons.